AAAAUCCAGCGCAAAGAUUAGCUCAACCAAUGAUAGUAACUCGAAAGUCUUGUCCUUGGAGAAACCAAAAUCUCCGAGAGCUCCAGUCAUCGUGUCUUAUUUUCCCGCAGGUUCGAAUCUUUCGCGUUUGUAAGAGAAGAUAUAAGAUCAAGUGUGGGACGGGUGUUGACUUUUUUGUUUUAUGUUGACAUAUAAUGUAAAGACUUUAUGUGUUGGUUUGAUUAUAUGUAAAUUGUAC
This 238-nucleotide long non-coding RNA is filed under the name Brassica napus (rape). RNAcentral's name for it is "long non-coding RNA (BNAP_LNC007008)". The record is from RNAcentral. Lineage: Eukaryota; Viridiplantae; Streptophyta; Magnoliopsida; Brassicales; Brassicaceae.